Molecule: ribosomal RNA, 253 nt
Filed under: uncultured bacterium
Lineage: Bacteria
Description: partial 16S ribosomal RNA
Rfam family: Bacterial small subunit ribosomal RNA
Source: RNAcentral
UACGUAGGGUGCGAGCGUUGCCCGGAUUCAUUGGGCGUAAAGGGUGCGUAGGUGGCGCUGUAAGUCGGGUGUGAAAUUUCGGAGCUUAACUCCGAAACUGCAUUCGAUACUGCGGUGCUUGAGGACUGGAGAGGAGACUGGAAUUCAUGGUGUAGCAGUGAAAUGCGUAGAGAUCAUGAGGAAGACCAGUGGCGAAGGCGGGUCUCUGGACAGUUCCUGACACUGAGGCACGAAGGCCAGGGGAGCAAACGGG